GCCGGGGUAGCUCAGUUGGUAGAGCGCAAGGCUCUUAGUGGCCUCGUGUCCUAAAGCACACCUUGUGGUCGAGGGUUCGAGCCCCUCCUCCGGCG
Molecule: transfer RNA, 95 nt
Filed under: Klebsormidium nitens
Lineage: Eukaryota; Viridiplantae; Streptophyta; Klebsormidiophyceae; Klebsormidiales; Klebsormidiaceae
Rfam family: tRNA
About the family: Transfer RNA (tRNA) molecules are approximately 80 nucleotides in length. Their secondary structure includes four short double-helical elements and three loops (D, anti-codon, and T loops). Further hydrogen bonds mediate the characteristic L-shaped molecular structure. tRNAs have two regions of fundamental functional importance: the anti-codon, which is responsible for specific mRNA codon recognition, and the 3' end, to which the tRNAs corresponding amino acid is attached (by aminoacyl-tRNA synthetases). tRNAs cope with the degeneracy of the genetic code in two manners: having more than one tRNA (with a specific anti-codon) for a particular amino acid; and 'wobble' base-pairing, i.e. permitting non-standard base-pairing at the 3rd anti-codon position.
Source: Rfam by way of RNAcentral